GGAUGCGAUCAUACCAGCACUAAAGCACCGGAUCCCAUCAGAACUCCGAAGUUAAGCGUGCUUAGGCUAGAGUAGUACUAGGAUGGGUGACCUCCUGGGAAGUCCUUGUCUUGCAUUCC
RNAcentral lists this ribosomal RNA (119 nucleotides) under Aegilops tauschii subsp. strangulata. Lineage: Eukaryota; Viridiplantae; Streptophyta; Magnoliopsida; Poales; Poaceae. The record is from RNAcentral.